This 222-nucleotide ribosomal RNA is filed under the name uncultured bacterium. RNAcentral's name for it is "partial 16S ribosomal RNA". It matches the Rfam family "Bacterial small subunit ribosomal RNA", at positions 15 to 219 of the family's 1533-position model. The record is from RNAcentral.
GAUCCUGGCUCAGGAUGAACGCUGGCGGCGUGCUUAGCACAUGCAAGUCGAGCGAAGCACUUAGGAAAGAUUCUUCGGAUGAUUUCCUAUUUGACUGAGCGGCGGACGGGUGAGUAACGCGUGGGUAACCUGCCUCAUACAGGGGGAUAGCAGUUAGAAAUGACUGCUAAUACCGCAUAAGACCACAGCACUGCAUGGUGCAGGGGUAAAAACUCCGGUGGU